CUCCGCGUCACGAUCGACAUUCAGAUUCCUCUGCGAUCGCAUCGGGUAAGACCGAUGCUUUUCUUGACUCUUCAAAGGUCUUGGAAUAAGGGGUGGGUAAGGACGGUGCCAGCCGCCGCGGUAAUACCGGCGCCCCAAGUGGUAGUCGCUUUUAUUGGGCCUAAAACGUCCGUAGCCGGUCUGGUACAUUCGUGGGUAAAUCAACCAGCUCAACUGGUUGAAUUCUGCGAGCACGGCCAGACUUGGGACCGGGAGAGGUGUGGGGUACUCUCAGGGUAGGGGUAAAAUCCUGUCAUCCUGAGAGGACCACCUGUUGCGAAGGCGCCACACUAAAACGGAUCCGACGGUCAGGGACGAAGCCUAGGGGCACGAACCGGAUUAAAUACCCGGGUAGUCCUAGGUGUAAACGCUGUGGACUUGAUGUUGGGGGCGCUCCGAGCGCACUCAGUGUCGAAGCGAAGGUGAUAAGUCCACUGCCUGGGGAGUACGGUCGCAAGGCUGAAACUUAAAGGAAUUGGCGGGGGAGCACA
Molecule: ribosomal RNA, 530 nt
Filed under: uncultured euryarchaeote
Lineage: Archaea; Methanobacteriati; Methanobacteriota
Description: bacterial SSU rRNA
Rfam family: Archaeal small subunit ribosomal RNA
Source: RNAcentral